CGGGGCGUAGCGCAGUUCGCUUUAUCGCGCAGCGGAUGGGACGCUGAGGUCGGAGGUUCGAAUCCUCUCGCCCCGACCA
This 79-nucleotide transfer RNA is filed under the name Anaerolineae bacterium. Its description in RNAcentral is "tRNA-Pro". It matches the Rfam family "tRNA". From Rfam's summary of the family: Transfer RNA (tRNA) molecules are approximately 80 nucleotides in length. Their secondary structure includes four short double-helical elements and three loops (D, anti-codon, and T loops). Further hydrogen bonds mediate the characteristic L-shaped molecular structure. tRNAs have two regions of fundamental functional importance: the anti-codon, which is responsible for specific mRNA codon recognition, and the 3' end, to which the tRNAs corresponding amino acid is attached (by aminoacyl-tRNA synthetases). tRNAs cope with the degeneracy of the genetic code in two manners: having more than one tRNA (with a specific anti-codon) for a particular amino acid; and 'wobble' base-pairing, i.e. permitting non-standard base-pairing at the 3rd anti-codon position. The record is from RNAcentral. Lineage: Bacteria; Bacillati; Chloroflexota; Anaerolineae.